AUGAAGACAUGCAGCCAGUGGCAGAGCUUGGUCACUUGGCUGAGUGACCAGGCCUGGAGCAGGUCAGGGAGAUGUGACUUCACAGGACUCUCUUGUUUCCAUUGCCUGGAAGCAUUUCUCAGCACAGCUGCUUGGGUAACCAUCCUAGGGGUUGAGAAGGAUCUUGGAACUACUGGUUGCCAUACUUGGAGGAAAAGAAGGUCUCAUCUGAAGUCUUGCAAGAAAGGAAUCUAUGCCCUGGACCACUUGGUCUCUCUAGCAAGUGUUUGUUACGGGAUAUCUAGACUCAGCCAUUCGGACACACCAUCACCAUUUUCUGUCCUGUGUGCUCUUUGCUCAGUUAACCGGGGUUGCAGUCUAUGCCUGUCCCUGAAAUCCACGGUGAGGCCCUGCUUUUAUGAGCUGACUUUCCAAUCAGAGCUGCACUUACGCUUUCACUCGGAGUCUCUGUGAUGGGUGUAUUAGGACAAGCCUGAGGAUUGAACGUUGAGAUCAAAAUAUGAUCUUCCUCAGCUGAUAUAACUUCUAAAAUAAAUCAUUCAUACAGCCGGUGACUCAUACCAUCCAUUCCAGCAUGCUCUGCUGUUUGUCAGGAGGUUUUUAUUUAAUUUAAGCAUUUUCAUUAUGGCGGAUUUUUAUUAUGUCCUGUUCAGUUCUGAGUCUUGGGCAGUUGUUAUAAUAAGGUUGCUAGUCAGGGGCUGAAGAUAAAGAACAGGAAGCCAAUAAUUAAAAGGCAACCAAGAGUGCACUCUGCCAAGUGUAAAAGAUCAGAUCUAAAAUGGCAUGAAGAUGGGCUAAAAGCCAAAACUAUUAAUGCAAAAUAUGAUUGUUUCCAGUAAUGAGCUGAUGCAUGUUGGGGCUUCUGGGUUACAAGGGGGAUUUUGUGAGAUAAUCAGACCAACAGUAUUAGGCGGGACAAUCUUGAUUUUCCCCUUCCUACAAUAUCUCCUCCUGGGACUCCA
This 962-nucleotide long non-coding RNA is filed under the name Capra hircus (goat). Its description in RNAcentral is "lncRNA (ENSCHIG00010025322.1)". The record is from RNAcentral. Lineage: Eukaryota; Metazoa; Chordata; Mammalia; Artiodactyla; Bovidae.